AGCAGCCGCGGUAAUUCCAGCUCCAAUAGCGUAUAUUAAAGUUGUUGCAGUUAAAAAGCUCGUAGUUGAAUUUCGAGAUCAAAUUGUUGGUCGUGCCUCGGUACGUACUGGCAUUAUUGAUUUCUCCCUUCUGAAGAACCUUGAUGUCAUUAACUUGGUGUCUUGGGGAAUCAGGACCGUUACUUUGAAAAAUUAGAGUGUUUAAAGCAGGCUCACGCUUGAAUACAUUAGCAUGGAAUAAUGAAAUAGGACGUUUGAUUCUAUUUUGUUGGUUUCUAGGAUCGACGUAAUGAUUAAUAGGGAUAGUUGGGGGCAUUAGUAUUCAAUUGUCAGAGGUGAAAUUCUUGGAUUUAUUGAAGACUAACUACUGCGAAAGCAUUUGCCAAGGAUGUUUUCAUUAAUCAAGAACGAAAGUUAGGGGAUCGAAGACGAUCAGAUACCGUCGUAGUC
RNAcentral lists this ribosomal RNA (450 nucleotides) under uncultured Glomus. Its description in RNAcentral is "SSU rRNA". It matches the Rfam family "Eukaryotic small subunit ribosomal RNA", at positions 569 to 1025 of the family's 1831-position model. The record is from RNAcentral. Lineage: Eukaryota; Fungi; Glomeromycota; Glomeromycetes; Glomerales; Glomeraceae.